Long non-coding RNA from Cavia porcellus (domestic guinea pig), 414 nucleotides. RefSeq lists it as uncharacterized. The record is from RefSeq and is a predicted model, not a curated record. The transcript has 3 exons. Lineage: Eukaryota; Metazoa; Chordata; Mammalia; Rodentia; Caviidae.
AUCUCUCUCCUGUCCCGAUCACUUGGAGGGAAACAUUCAACAGUGGAAGAUGAGUUUUUGCUGUUUUCCUGCUUUCCGAACUUCUAGCCACAAAAAACACAGGAGUAGGAACAUUGUCAGUUCUUGGUUCAGGUCUCACUGUGGAUGUUUCCAGCUAAUGUUCAGGAGGAGCCAACAAAGCUCCAUGCAGAUCAUCAACGCAUCAUGUGACAACUCUAGAUCCUUGGACCCAGAUUUGGAGCAUGAAAAAGCCAACAGUGGUCAGUGCCUGACAACGAUGCAAAUGAGCACAUGAGGGUCUCUACAGGGUGACAGUGAGUCCUCCCUGAAGGUAUCAGUGACCUGCGAGAUGUGGACUCUUCAGGCAAGACACUGGGAGAAGUUGGUUCUUGGUACCAUCCAUCUCAAUUAGAC